GUGGUGGAUUCGGAGGAUCUGGAGGCUAUGGCGGCAGAGGAUUCGGAGGUGGACAUGGAGGUUUCGGUGGAGGAUUUGGCGGCGGUCAUGGUGGAUUUGGAGGUGGACAUGGAGGAUUCGGAGGCGGUCAUGGAGGAUUCGGAGGUGGCUUUGGAGGACGUUAUGGAAAGUAAACUAUUCGACGAUCUGCCACCUCAGUGGAUUGUAUAUAAAAGAACGUCUUCCUUUUUCCUUAUUAAAAUAUAAAUUCAA
This 252-nucleotide long non-coding RNA is filed under the name Penaeus japonicus. Its description in RNAcentral is "uncharacterized LOC122246576". The record is from RNAcentral. Lineage: Eukaryota; Metazoa; Arthropoda; Malacostraca; Decapoda; Penaeidae.